GAAAGACCUCUGGAUUUUAUGAGAACAGAAAGGCUGAUUAUUUGGAAAUGUCAUCAGGGCAGUCUCAUGGAGUUGGAGUUUCCAGAUAGAACCCAUCUACUAUGGCACAGAGUUUCGUGUGCACCUGUUUUAGUUGGUGAUGAUGAUUGCAGGUUGGCUGGCAGGGUUCAGGAAAAUAAGCCGUGUCUUAAUGUUUUAAUAAGUUUUAAAAAUAGUUCACAAUUUAAGAUCCUCAGAAUGGGACUUAGACCAAUAUGAGAAACGGAGUGCUUUAAUUGCAUGACCAACUACACAUUAGAGCCCUGGAAUCUAUCCCACUGUUAUUUACAAGUAUUGUGUUAAAGACUAGUUGGAACCCUCUCAGGAGAAAUUAGCAGUUACAUUUUCUUAUUUUUACAAUUUAUGCUCAAGGUGCAUUUACUUCGAUGUAAGCAGCCUCUUUUCUACUAUAACACUCUCAUGCCAAUCUAAAAUUGGACAAUGGGUUUCCUGCUUUACAGCAGCAAAAAUUGUUCUCCCUCUCCUGAAGUGGUUGACUGGGUUUCUUCACAUUCGGCUGUCACCCUCCACCAGCUGAGGGAGCAAGAGACCUCUGCAUGGGAGGCUACAGCCCCACCUCCUGGGUCUCCUGCAGGGCCGUCUCCGUUUUCAGAGUAGGAUGAGUACCUGCCUUAGUAACAGCAAUUCAGUUACCCUGAAGUUUUACUUUGUCCAAAAAGUUUCACCAAGAGCUUGUAUUUUAAUGAGAUACUUUAAAAAUAUAUUUGGGAAUGUAUAAGGCAAACGGAUUCUCUAUUAUUUAUACUUAGUGCAUUCGCCUACUGAAAUUUGAGGGUUUUCUAAGAUAUAUAUAAAUAUCACAAUGUAAAUAUAGCUUCUCGCUCUUCCUCUCUCUCUUUCUCACACACACACGCAAGCACACGCACCCACCCACACACGCACACACACAUCAAGGAAAUGCCAUAUGUCCCAAGUGAGGCCCACUGGAAAAAAACAAAAGUGCUGAACAUAUCACUCAGGAUCAUUGUGAGAGGACAGUCGUCAGCUUUCUCUCUGGCAAUGAGAAUUUUCUCACCCUCAAGACAUGCAAAUUACUUUUUUCAUCUGUUCUUUUUAUGUUAUUUGCAUAAUUUUCUCCUGCAAAAGUGAGAGCUGUCAAAAAUUAACCAUUUGGGGCUUUGGCAUUCAGUUAUGUGACCUUUUCCAGAGAGUUAGAUCUCUUCAGGGAACUAGGAACUUGAUGAGGAAGUGCUGAGAAGGUGAUCAGUGGCAGAAAGAGCGGAUGACGGAUGGGGACCAGCAGACAGUGAGGAGCUCAACAUAACAGGGAAAAGGAGCACAGGAUGCAGCUACUUAGAGGGUGUUGAUUGAAAACUUCGAUCUCCCCACCCCAUCACGGUUGAUUUGACGGAUUUCUCACCUCGUUCACAGAGAAAAUUUCAAUUAAGGCACAUGGAGACGGACCUCUACCUGCAAUGCCCCCCUUGCACUUGGACAGAACCAUGUGACUAUUUAUAAGCUAUGACACAUGAGCAGACAUGACAUGACGGGAUUGAUGGAGCAAUGACCUCAUCUUUUCUCCUGCCAAAUAUUAUGAAAGAGGACUCAAGUCACUCACCUGAGGGACACUGGGUGAAAGUCAGUAAUGAAGCUGAAAGGUCGCUAAAUGCUGGCAAGUGAGAUGGAUUAUAGUGUCUAGACUUUUUCCUGAGGUCAUUCUAUAUCCAGCAGAUAUCUUUCAGUAUAUAGUCUAUUCAGAACAAUGUGCUAGUGACUAUUGAGUGUGGUUACAUUCUUUUUUUUUUUUUUUUUUGAGAUGGAGUCUCACUCUGUCCCCUAGGCUGGAGUGCAGUGGCACAAUCUUGGCUCACUGCAACCUCUGCCU
Molecule: long non-coding RNA, 1885 nt
Filed under: Homo sapiens (human)
Lineage: Eukaryota; Metazoa; Chordata; Mammalia; Primates; Hominidae
Description: HSALNT0327214
Source: RNAcentral